Molecule: ribosomal RNA, 468 nt
Filed under: uncultured bacterium
Lineage: Bacteria
Description: partial 16S ribosomal RNA
Rfam family: Bacterial small subunit ribosomal RNA
Source: RNAcentral
GACGAACGCUGGCGGCGUGCUUAACACAUGCAAGUCGAACGGAAAGGCCCUGCUUUUGUGGGGUGCUCGAGUGGCGAACGGGUGAGUAACACGUGAGUAACCUGCCCUUGACUUUGGGAUAACUUCAGGAAACUGGGGCUAAUACCGGAUAGGAGCUCCUGCUGCAUGGUGGGGGUUGGAAAGUUUCGGCGGUUGGGGAUGGACUCGCGGCUUAUCAGCUUGUUGGUGGGGUAGUGGCUUACCAAGGCUUUGACGGGUAGCCGGCCUGAGAGGGUGAACGGCCACAUUGGGACUGAGAUACGGCCCAGAAUCCUACGGGAGGCAGCAGUGGGGAAUAUUGCACAAUGGGCGGAAGCCUGAUGCAGAAACGCCGCGUGCGGGAUGACGGCCUUCGGGUUGUAAACCGCUUUCGCCUGUGACGAAGCGGGAGUGACGGUAAUGGGUAAAGAAGCACCGGCUAACUACGUG